UACGGAGGGUGCAAGCGUUAUCCGGAUUCACUGGGUUUAAAGGGUGUGUAGGCGGGCAUGUAAGUCAGUGGUGAAAUCUCCGGGCUCAACCUGGAAACUGCCAUUGAUACUAUAUGUCUUGAAUUUUGUUGAGGUUGGCGGAAUAAGUCAUGUAGCGGUGAAAUGCAUAGAUAUGACUUAGAACACCGAUUGCGAAGGCAGCUAACUAAGCAAAUAUUGACGCUGAGGCACGAAAGCGUGGGGAUCAAACAGG
RNAcentral lists this ribosomal RNA (253 nucleotides) under uncultured bacterium. Its description in RNAcentral is "partial 16S ribosomal RNA". It matches the Rfam family "Bacterial small subunit ribosomal RNA", at positions 524 to 776 of the family's 1533-position model. The record is from RNAcentral.